GGGUGAUAGUCCCGUACACCAAAAUGCACAGGCUGUGAACUCGAAGAGUAGGGCGGGACACGUGGUAUCCUGUCUGAAUAUGGGGGGACCAUCCUCCAAGGCUAAAUACUCCUGACUGACCGAUAGUGAACCAGUACCGUGAGGGAAAGGCGAAAAGAACCCCGGCGAGGGGAGUGAAAAAGAACCUGAAACCGUGUACGUACAAGCAGUGGGAGCACCUUCGGGUGUGACUGCGUACCUUUUGUAUAAUGGGUCAGCGACUUAUAUUCUGUAGCAAGGUUAACCGUAUAGGGGAGCCGCAGGGAAACCGAGUCUUAACUGGGCGUUAAGUUGCAGGGUAUAGACCCGAAACCCGGUGAUCUAGCCAUGGGCAGGUUGAAGGUUGGGUAACACUAACUGGAGGACCGAACCGACUAAUGUUGAAAAAUUAGCGGAUGACUUGUGGCUGGGGGUGAAAGGCCAAUCAAACCGGGAGAUAGCUGGUUCUCCCCGAAAGCUAUUUAGGUAGCGCCUCGUGAACUCAUCUUCGGGGGUAGAGCACUGUUUCGGCUAGGGGGUCAUCCCGACUUACCAACCCGAUGCAAACUACGAAUACCGAAGAAUGUUAUCACGGGAGACACACGGCGGGUGCUAACGUCCGUCGUGAAGAGGGAAACAACCCAGACCGCCAGCUAAGGUCCCAAAGUCACAGUUAAGUGGGAAACGAUGUGGGAAGGCACAGACAGCCAGGAUGUUGGCUUAGAAGCAGCCAUCAUUUAAAGAAAGCGUAAUAGCUCACUGGUCGAGUCGGCCUGCGCGGAAGAUGUAACGGGGCUAAACUGUGCACCGAAGCUGCGGCAGCGACACUAUGUGUUGUUGGGUAGGGGAGCGUUCUGUAAGCCUGCGAAGGUGGCCUGUGAGGGUUGCUGGAGGUAUCAGAAGUGCGAAUGCUGACAUAAGUAACGAUAAUGCGGGUGAAAAGCCCGCACGCCGGAAGACCAAGGGUUCCUGUCCAACGUUAAUCGGGGCAGGGUGAGUCGACCCCUAAGGCGAGGCCGAAAGGCGUAGUCGAUGGGAAACAGGUUAAUAUUCCUGUACU
This 1078-nucleotide ribosomal RNA is filed under the name Klebsiella aerogenes. Its description in RNAcentral is "partial 23S ribosomal RNA". It matches the Rfam family "Bacterial large subunit ribosomal RNA", at positions 362 to 1445 of the family's 2925-position model. The record is from RNAcentral. Lineage: Bacteria; Pseudomonadati; Pseudomonadota; Gammaproteobacteria; Enterobacterales; Enterobacteriaceae.